UGGGGAAUAUUGCACAAUGGGGGAAACCCUGAUGCAGCGACGCCGCGUGAGUGAAGAAGUAUUUCGGUAUGUAAAGCUCUAUCAGCAGGGAAGAAGAAAUGACGGUACCUGACUAAGAAGCCCCGGCUAACUACGUGCCAGCAGCCGCGGUAAUACGUAGGGGGCAAGCGUUAUCCGGAUUUACUGGGUGUAAAGGGAGCGUAGACGGCAAUGCAAGUCUGAAGUGAAAGGCCGGGGCUCAACCCCGGGACUGCUUUGGAAACUGUGUAGCUGGAGUACAGGAGAGGUAAGUGGAAUUCCUAGUGUAGCGGUGAAAUGCGUAGAUAUUAGGAGGAACACCAGUGGCGAAGGCGGCUUACUGGACUGUAACUGACGUUGAGGCUCGAAAGCGUGGGGAGCAAACAGGA
Molecule: ribosomal RNA, 407 nt
Filed under: uncultured bacterium
Lineage: Bacteria
Description: bacterial SSU rRNA
Rfam family: Bacterial small subunit ribosomal RNA
Source: RNAcentral